CAGUAGCCACGGGAACACGUAGGGCGCAAGCGUUAUCCGGAAUUAUUGGGCGUAAAGAGCUCGUAGGCGGUUUGUCGCGUCUGCCGUGAAAGUCCGGGGCUCAACCCCGGAUCUGCGGUGGGUACGGGCAGACUAGAGUGAUGUAGGGGAGACUGGAAUUCCUGGUGUAGCGGUGAAAUGCGCAGAUAUCAGGAGGAACACCGAUGGCGAAGGCAGGUCUCUGGGCAUUAACUGACGCUGAGGAGCGAAAGCAUGGGGAGCGAACAGGAUUAGAUACCCCGGUAGUCCCUGUCUCUUAUAC
Molecule: ribosomal RNA, 301 nt
Filed under: uncultured bacterium
Lineage: Bacteria
Description: partial 16S ribosomal RNA
Rfam family: Bacterial small subunit ribosomal RNA
Source: RNAcentral